GGGUGCGUAGCUCAGGGAUAGAGCAAUAGGCUUUUAACCUAAUGGUCGCAGGUUUGAAUCCUGCCGCGCUCA
Molecule: transfer RNA, 72 nt
Filed under: Entransia fimbriata
Lineage: Eukaryota; Viridiplantae; Streptophyta; Klebsormidiophyceae; Entransiales; Entransiaceae
Description: tRNA-Lys
Rfam family: tRNA
About the family: Transfer RNA (tRNA) molecules are approximately 80 nucleotides in length. Their secondary structure includes four short double-helical elements and three loops (D, anti-codon, and T loops).
Source: RNAcentral